Molecule: ribosomal RNA, 275 nt
Filed under: uncultured bacterium
Lineage: Bacteria
Description: partial 16S ribosomal RNA
Rfam family: Bacterial small subunit ribosomal RNA
Source: RNAcentral
CCUACGGGUGGCUGCAGUAGGGAAUUUUCCACAAUGGACGAAAGUCUGAUGGAGCAACGCCGCGUGCAGGAUGAAGGGUUUCGGCUCGUAAACUGCUUUUGUCUGUGACGAUUAUGACGGUAGCAGACGAAUAAGGAUCGGCUAACUCCGUGCCAGCAGCCGCGGUCAUACGGAGGAUCCAAGCGUUAUCCGGAAUUACUGGGCGUAAAGAGUUGCGUAGGUGGCAUUGUAAGUCUGUAGUGAAAGCGUGGGGCUCAACCCCAUAUACAUUAUGG